UGCAGUCGAGCGAACUGAUUAGAAGCUUGCUUCUAUGACGUUAGCGGCGGACGGGUGAGUAACACGUGGGCAACCUGCCUGUAAGACUGGGAUAACUUCGGGAAACCGAAGCUAAUACCGGAUAGGAUCUUCUCCUUCAUGGGAGAUGAUUGAAAGAUGGUUUCGGCUAUCACUUACAGAUGGGCCCGCGGUGCAUUAGCUAGUUGGUGAGGUAACGGCUCACCAAGGCCACGAUGCAUAGCCGACCUGAGAGGGUGAUCGGCCACACUGGGACUGAGACACGGCCCAGACUCCUACGGGAGGCAGCAGUAGGGAAUCUUCCGCAAUGGACGAAAGUCUGACGGAGCAACGCCGCGUGAGUGAUGAAGGCUUUCGGGUCGUAAAACUCUGUUGUUAGGGAAGAACAAGUACAAGAGUAACUGCUUGUACCUUGACGGUACCUAACCAGAAAGCCACGGCUAACUACGUGCCAGCAGCCGCGGUAAUACGUAGGUGGCAAGCGUUAUCCGGAAUUAUUGGGCGUAAAGCGCGCGCAGGCGGUUUCUUAAGUCUGAUGUGAAAGCCCACGGCUCAACCGUGGAGGGUCAUUGGAAACUGGGGAACUUGAGUGCAGAAGAGAAAAGCGGAAUUCCACGUGUAGCGGUGAAAUGCGUAGAGAUGU
This 661-nucleotide ribosomal RNA is filed under the name Bacillus sp. FJAT-4412. RNAcentral's name for it is "bacterial SSU rRNA". It matches the Rfam family "Bacterial small subunit ribosomal RNA", at positions 56 to 699 of the family's 1533-position model. The record is from RNAcentral. Lineage: Bacteria; Bacillati; Bacillota; Bacilli; Caryophanales; Bacillaceae.